ACUACAAUCCGCCUCGUUGGUGCCCGUGCCGGCUCGUCUGCCGGCACAGUUAAACGGGAAGCAGAAGGACGACGCCGCGCAUGCGGCCGACCCCGAAUCUGCGCUGCCCCCGCAACGGUACGGCGGACGAUGGUCCUGAAGGCUUCACAGCCCGACGACAUCGGUCCUUGCGCAACACCACUGGAAGCGAGGCGCUUCUGGGAAGGUCGCAAGGGCAGGUCCGCCAGCCCGGAUACCGGCCAACAGGGGGUGCUGCGC
This 258-nucleotide non-coding RNA is filed under the name Methylibium sp. NZG. The record is from RNAcentral. RNAcentral also lists the same sequence under 1 other name. Lineage: Bacteria; Pseudomonadati; Pseudomonadota; Betaproteobacteria; Burkholderiales; Sphaerotilaceae.